This is a long non-coding RNA of Girardinichthys multiradiatus, 638 nucleotides long. RefSeq lists it as uncharacterized. Lineage: Eukaryota; Metazoa; Chordata; Actinopteri; Cyprinodontiformes; Goodeidae. The transcript has 2 exons. The record is from RefSeq and is a predicted model, not a curated record.
UGUCACUUGGAGUAUAAAAAGCCCAGAAGAAGGUCUUGGUUGAAUCUCUUGAGCUGCUGACGCGUUUGGAGUCGCUGCCUGAACACCAACCAGCAAGAUGACUAAACUGUGCGUCAGUUUGCUUUCAGCUCUGCUGCUGGCUUUUUAUCUCUCAUCCCAGGUGGUUCAGGCAACUUCAAAGAACGUGACCAACAACACCGCCAACAGCAUCAGUGGAAGGACCACAGUCAUCCCGCUGCUCCUGUUCCCUAUGACCUUAGCUUUUGUCUGCCUUCUCGAUUGGUCCAAGUAAAGGACUAACUCCGCCCGUCCUGUCGGGCCAGCUGGAGAGUGGAAGCGAACAUCAGCCUCUUCAACAUGAAGUUCACCUAAAAAGAACUUUCAUCCGUUUUACGCACCAAAUCAGGACGCGCCCUGUUCCCCUCAGCAUGUCCUGAGCCUUGCUAGGUGUUUCAUGAACUAUAUAUCUUUCUUAAUCGGGAGUACACGGCGCCAGUAGUAAUUAGUAAUGUUUAUGGGGGUGGGAGAAAAUGUCAAGCUUUUUCUAUUAAGGAACUAGUUCUGAAAGGCUAAGAUUUGUAUCUAUUUAAAUGUAAAGCAUGAAACUUGUCUGGAAGUUAAUAAAGCCUUAAAAUGUC